Non-coding RNA from Paramuricea clavata, 980 nucleotides. The record is from the annotation of a GenBank genome assembly. NCBI's taxonomy places the organism in Eukaryota, Metazoa, Cnidaria, Anthozoa, Malacalcyonacea, Plexauridae.
CCUGCGAAUGGUUUCGUUAGUGGAAAAGAAGGACUACAUUGCUAUUUUUUUGUUUUCUUCGACCAAAGUGUACCACGUUACUAAUAUGUAUUUCAAAUCAUGUUUGUUUCAAGGAUAAAUGCCUAUAAAUGCCAUAUAAUGAACUUUUUAUUAAGGAAGCGGUCAUUAAUUAUUAGGGGGGGAGGGCCGGUAAAAUAUCUAAAACGAGGGCCAAAAAUGUUGACCCCCUUUCAAAUUAGCGCCCAAAAAUUUUAGCCCCCCACAAAAUAAUAGCCCAGAAAAUUGUGACCCUCCCCUUCCUUAGAUAGCUUCCUUCCAAUCGGUCAAGCCGCCGAUCAAACAGCGACAUAAUUUCGUGAAUAAAAUACGGCUAUAUAGUAUAAAACACUCCUAUACAUGCAUUAAAUAGUACAUCAUUUGAAAUCUUUAUGUAAAUUAGUCUAUAGCACUGGCUCGUCCCUUCCAUGUCCGGCAAACUCUACCAGAUCUUGUGGUCUGCAAAAGGUCGGAAAUGUUUUCUUCCUCCUCGUCCUCUUCUCCCGCAUCACCUUCAUAAAUUUGUCCUUCAUCGUCGUCGGAAUCAAUAUCAUCCUCAUCACUUCCAAUCUCCUGCACGACAACAUCGUCGUCACCAGAAUCCUGGUCGUUACUAUCUCUGUCAUUAUCAGAAAGUUGACGGUUAUCAGGGACUACGGUUCACUAGUCCGAAGGUUCACUAGUCCGAAGGUUCACCAGUCCGAAGGUUCACUAGUCCGAAGGUUCACCAGUCCGAAGGUUCACCAGUCCGAAGGUUCACUAGUCCGAAGGUUCACCAGUCCGAAGGUUCACUAGUCCGAAGGUUCACCAGUCCGAAGGUUCACUAGUCCGAAGGUUCACUAGUCCAAAGGUUCACUAGUCCGAAGGUUCACUACUCCGAAGUUUCACUACUCCGAAUGUUCACUAGUCCAAAACAUACGCUGGUUUUGAAUUGCAAUUACGUG